UAGUCCACGCUGUAAACGAUGAGUGCUAGGUGUUGGGGGUAUCGACUCCCUCAUUGCCGCAGUUAACGCAUUAAGCACUCCGCCUGGGGAGUACGGUCGCAAGAUUAAAACUCAAAGGAAUUGACGGGGGCCCGCACAAGCGGUGGAGUAUGUGGUUUAAUUCGAUGAUACGCGAGAAACCUUACCUGGUCUUGACAUGUAUAGAACUACUAAGAAAUUAGUGGGUGCACAGCAAUGUGAGCUAUAACACAGGUGGUGCAUGGUUGUCGUCAGCUCGUGUCGUGAGAUGUUGGGUUAAGUCCCGCAACGAGCGCAACCCUUGUUGCUAGUUACCAGCACGUAAUGGUGGGCACUCUAGCGAGACUGCCGGUGACAAACCGGAGGAAGGUGGGGAUGACGUCAAAUCAGCACGCCCCUUACGACCAGGGCGACACACGUACUACAAUGCACGGUACAGCGAGCUGCGAAGUGGCGACACUCAGCGAAUCUCUA
This 492-nucleotide ribosomal RNA is filed under the name uncultured bacterium. RNAcentral's name for it is "bacterial SSU rRNA". It matches the Rfam family "Bacterial small subunit ribosomal RNA", at positions 791 to 1277 of the family's 1533-position model. The record is from RNAcentral.